This 208-nucleotide ribosomal RNA is filed under the name uncultured bacterium. RNAcentral's name for it is "partial 16S ribosomal RNA". It matches the Rfam family "Bacterial small subunit ribosomal RNA", at positions 568 to 774 of the family's 1533-position model. The record is from RNAcentral.
CUCGUAGGCGGUUCAGCAAGUCGGCUGUGAAAGUCCGGGGCUCAACCCCGGAAUUGCAGUCGAUACUGCUGUGACUCGAGUCCGGUAGAGGAGAACGGAAUUCCCGGUGUAGCGGUGAAAUGCGCAGAUAUCGGGAGGAACACCAGUAGCGAAGGCGGUUCUCUGGGCCGGCACUGACGCUGAGGAGCGAAAGCGUGGGGAGCAAACA